RNAcentral lists this ribosomal RNA (1511 nucleotides) under Limosilactobacillus fermentum. Its description in RNAcentral is "bacterial SSU rRNA". It matches the Rfam family "Bacterial small subunit ribosomal RNA". Lineage: Bacteria; Bacillati; Bacillota; Bacilli; Lactobacillales; Lactobacillaceae. The record is from RNAcentral.
GGCUAGGAUGACGCCGGCGGUGUGCCUAAUACAUGCAAGUCGAACGCGUUGGCCCAAUUGAUUGAUGGUGCUUGCACCUGAUUGAUUUUGGUCGCCAACGAGUGGCGGACGGGUGAGUAACACGUAGGUAACCUGCCCAGAAGCGGGGGACAACAUUUGGAAACAGAUGCUAAUACCGCAUAACAGCGUUGUUCGCAUGAACAACGCUUAAAAGAUGGCUUCUCGCUAUCACUUCUGGAUGGACCUGCGGUGCAUUAGCUUGUUGGUGGGGUAACGGCCUACCAAGGCGAUGAUGCAUAGCCGAGUUGAGAGACUGAUCGGCCACAAUGGGACUGAGACACGGCCCAUACUCCUACGGGAGGCAGCAGUAGGGAAUCUUCCACAAUGGGCGCAAGCCUGAUGGAGCAACACCGCGUGAGUGAAGAAGGGUUUCGGCUCGUAAAGCUCUGUUGUUAAAGAAGAACACGUAUGAGAGUAACUGUUCAUACGUUGACGGUAUUUAACCAGAAAGUCACGGCUAACUACGUGCCAGCAGCCGCGGUAAUACGUAGGUGGCAAGCGUUAUCCGGAUUUAUUGGGCGUAAAGAGAGUGCAGGCGGUUUUCUAAGUCUGAUGUGAAAGCCUUCGGCUUAACCGGAGAAGUGCAUCGGAAACUGGAUAACUUGAGUGCAGAAGAGGGUAGUGGAACUCCAUGUGUAGCGGUGGAAUGCGUAGAUAUAUGGAAGAACACCAGUGGCGAAGGCGGCUACCUGGUCUGCAACUGACGCUGAGACUCGAAAGCAUGGGUAGCGAACAGGAUUAGAUACCCUGGUAGUCCAUGCCGUAAACGAUGAGUGCUAGGUGUUGGAGGGUUUCCGCCCUUCAGUGCCGGAGCUAACGCAUUAAGCACUCCGCCUGGGGAGUACGACCGCAAGGUUGAAACUCAAAGGAAUUGACGGGGGCCCGCACAAGCGGUGGAGCAUGUGGUUUAAUUCGAAGCUACGCGAAGAACCUUACCAGGUCUUGACAUCUUGCGCCAACCCUAGAGAUAGGGCGUUUCCUUCGGGAACGCAAUGACAGGUGGUGCAUGGUCGUCGUCAGCUCGUGUCGUGAGAUGUUGGGUUAAGUCCCGCAACGAGCGCAACCCUUGUUACUAGUUGCCAGCAUUAAGUUGGGCACUCUAGUGAGACUGCCGGUGACAAACCGGAGGAAGGUGGGGACGACGUCAGAUCAUCAUGCCCCUUAUGACCUGGGCUACACACGUGCUACAAUGGACGGUACAACGAGUCGCGAACUCGCGAGGGCAAGCAAAUCUCUUAAAACCGUUCUCAGUUCGGACUGCAGGCUGCAACUCGCCUGCACGAAGUCGGAAUCGCUAGUAAUCGCGGAUCAGCAUGCCGCGGUGAAUACGUUCCCGGGCCUUGUACACACCGCCCGUCACACCAUGAGAGUUUGUAACACCCAAAGUCGGUGGGGUAACCUUUUAGGAGCCAGCCGCCUAAGGUGGGACAGAUGAUUAGGGGAAGUCGAGC